GAUGAAGAACGUAGCGAAAUGCGAUAAGUAGUGUGAAUUGCAGAAUUCAGUGAAUCUUCGAAUCUUUGAACGCACAUUGCGCCCUUUGGUAUUCCAUGGGGCAUGCCUGUUCGAGCGUCAUUUGUACCUUCAAGCUCUGCUUGGUGUUGGGUGUUUGUCUCGCCUCUGCGUGUAGACUCGCCUCAAAACAAUUGGCAGCCGGCGUAUUGAUUUCGGAGCGCAGUACAUCUCGCGCUUUGCACUCAUAACGACGACGUCCAAAAGUACAUUUUUACACUCUUGACCUCGGAUCAGGUAGGGAUACCCGCUGAACUUAAGCAUAUCAAUAAGCGGAGGA
Molecule: unclassified non-coding RNA, 337 nt
Filed under: soil metagenome
Description: partial contains 5.8S ribosomal RNA, internal transcribed spacer 2, and large subunit ribosomal RNA
Rfam family: 5.8S ribosomal RNA (bases 1-120)
Source: RNAcentral